This 478-nucleotide ribosomal RNA is filed under the name uncultured bacterium. RNAcentral describes it as "partial 16S ribosomal RNA". It matches the Rfam family "Bacterial small subunit ribosomal RNA", at positions 28 to 507 of the family's 1533-position model. The record is from RNAcentral.
GAUGAACGCUGGCGGCGUGCUUAACACAUGCAAGUCGAACGAGAAGUGAAGACGGACUCCUUCGGGCGGAAGGCUUUAUUUCGAGUGGCGGACGGGUGAGUAACGCGUGGGUAACCUGCCUCAUACAGGGGGAUAACAGUUGGAAACGACUGUUAAUACCGCAUAAGACCACAGCACCGCAUGGUGCGGGGGUAAAAACUCCGGUGGUAUUAGAUGGAUCCGCGUUCGAUUAGCCAGUUGGCGGGGUAACGGCCCACCAGAGCGACGAUCGAUAGCCGGUCUGGGAGGAAGACCGGCCACAUUAGGACUGAGCCACGGCGCCAACUCCUACGGGAGGCAGCAGUGGGGAAUAUUGCACAAUGGAGGAAAUCCUGAUGCUGCGACGCAGCGAAAGUGAAGAAGUAUUUGGGGAUGUAAAGCUCUAUCAGCACGGACGGAAAUGACGGUACCUGAGGAAGAAGCCCCGGCUAACUACGUG